Molecule: long non-coding RNA, 358 nt
Organism: Patiria miniata (bat star)
Lineage: Eukaryota; Metazoa; Echinodermata; Asteroidea; Valvatida; Asterinidae
Exons: 4
Source: RefSeq, a predicted model, not a curated record
UCAUUCAGAGUGAGAAGAUCAAGAAUGACUACACGUGUCUCUGGUUGGCAAGAUGCUACAUCGUGAAUCGUAAGGCCAGACUAGCCUGGGAGUUGUACCUUAAGUUGGAGACGUCUGGCGAAUCGUUCAGCCUGAUGUAGCUCAUUGCUAACGACGGCUACAAGAUGGCCAGUUCUACAACGCGGCCAAGGCUAAUUUCGAUGUCCUGGAAAGAUUGGACCCCAAUCCUGAAUACUGGGAAGGCAAGCGAGGGGCGUGCGUGGGCGUAUUCCAGCAGAUCAUAGCUGGUCAUGAACCAAGAGAAACACUGCGAGACAUCCUCCAAAUCUUGCGCAACACCGGUAACCCGCAGGUGGAA